RNAcentral lists this ribosomal RNA (940 nucleotides) under uncultured archaeon. Its description in RNAcentral is "bacterial SSU rRNA". It matches the Rfam family "Archaeal small subunit ribosomal RNA", at positions 1 to 922 of the family's 1478-position model. The record is from RNAcentral.
UUCCGGUUGAUCCCGCCGGACCCCACUGCUAUCGAGGUGGGACUUAGCCAUGCUAGUCGAACGAACAGAACUAUGUCUGUAAGUGGCAUACUGCUCAGUAACACGUAGCUAACCUACCCUUAGGACGUCGAUAACCCCGAGAAAUUGGGGCUAAUAGGCGAUAGAUGUAUUGUCCUGGAAUGGUAAUAUGUCCAAAGGUAUCCCAUACAUGUUUGGUAUACGCCUAAGGAUGGGGCUGCGGCCGAUCAGGCUGUUGGUGAGGUAAUGGCUCACCAAACCUUUGACCGGUACGGGCCAUGAGAGUGGUAGCCCGGAGAUGGACACUGAGACAAGGGUCCAGGCCCUAAGGGGCGCAGCAACCGCGAAACCUCCACAAUGCACUCACGUGCGAUGGGGCUAUCUCGAGUGCCACCUGAUGAAGGUGGCUUUUCCUUGGUCUUCAAGGCCUUGGGAAUAAGAGGGGGGCAAGACUGGUGUCAGCCGCCGCGGUAACACCAGCCCCUCGAGUGGUGGGGAUGAUUAUUUGGCCUAAAGCGUCCGUAGCCGGCCGGGUAAGUUUCCCGUUAAAUCCAGCGUCUCAAGCGUUGGACUGCGGGAAAUACUGCCUGGCUAGAGAGUGGGAGAGGUCAGCGGUAUUCUGGGGGUAGGGGCGAAAUCCUUUGAUCCCCGGAGGACCACCAGUGGCGAAGGCUGCUGACUAGAACACGUCUGACGGUCAGGGACGAAAGCUGGGGUAGCGAACCGGAUUAGAUACCCGGGUAGUCCCAGCCGUAAACGAUGCAUGCUAGGUGUUGGGUUGGCCACGAGCCACCCCAGUGCCGCAGGGAAGCCGUUAAGCAUGCCGCCUGGGAAGUACGAUCGCAAGGUUGAAACUUAAAGGAAUUGGCGGGGGAGCACCACCAGGCGUGAAGCCUGCGGUUUAAUUGGAUUCAACGCCGGA